AUUGAACGCUGGCGGCAUGCUUUACACAUGCAAGUCGAACGGUAACAGGCCGCAAGGUGCUGACGAGUGGCGAACGGGUGCGUAAUGCAUCGGAACGUGCCCAGUCGUGGGGGAUAACUACUCGAAAGAGUAGCUAAUACCGCAUACGAUCUAUGGCUGAAAGCGGGGGACCGUAAGGCCUCGCGCGAUUGGAGCGGCCGAUGUCAGAUUAGGUAGUUGGUGGGGUAAAGGCUCACCAAGCCAACGAUCUGUAGCUGGUCUGAGAGGACGACCAGCCACACUGGGACGGAGACACGGCCCAGACUCCUACGGGAGGCAGCAGUGGGGAAUUUUGGACAAUGGGCGCAAGCCUGAUCCAGCAAUGCCGCGUGCAGGAAGAAGGCCUUCGGGUUGUAAACUGCUUUUGUACGGAACGAAACGGCUCUGGUUAAUACCCGGGGCUAAUGACGGUACCGGAAGAAUAAGCACCGGCUAACUACGUG
Molecule: ribosomal RNA, 482 nt
Filed under: uncultured bacterium
Lineage: Bacteria
Description: partial 16S ribosomal RNA
Rfam family: Bacterial small subunit ribosomal RNA
Source: RNAcentral